GGAAAGUAAAAAAGUCGUAACAAGGUUUCCGUAGGUGAACCUGCGGAAGGAUCAUUACCGAGUGAGGGCCCUCUGGGUCCAACCUCCCACCCGUGUUUAUUUUACCUUGUUGCUUCGGCGGGCCCGCCUUAACUGGCCGCCGGGGGGCUUACGCCCCCGGGCCCGCGCCCGCCGAAGACACCCUCGAACUCUGUCUGAAGAUUGUAGUCUGAGUGAAAAUAUAAAUUAUUUAAAACUUUCAACAACGGAUCUCUUGGUUCCGGCAUCGAUGAAGAACGCAGCGAAAUGCGAUACGUAAUGUGAAUUGCAAAUUCAGUGAAUCAUCGAGUCUUUGAACGCACAUUGCGCCCCCUGGUAUUCCGGGGGGCAUGCCUGUCCGAGCGUCAUUUCUGCCCUCAAGCACGGCUUGUGUGUUGGGCCCCGUCCUCCGAUCCCGGGGGACGGGCCCGAAAGGCAGCGGCGGCACCGCGUCCGGUCCUCGAGCGUAUGGGGCUUUGUCACCCGCUCUGUAGGCCCGGCCGGCGCUUGCCGAUCAACCCAAAUUUUUAUCCAGGUUGACCUCGGAUCAGGUAGGGAUACCCGCUGAACUUAAGCAUAUA
RNAcentral lists this ribosomal RNA (599 nucleotides) under Penicillium citrinum. Its description in RNAcentral is "eukaryotic LSU rRNA". The stretch from base 234 to 386 matches the Rfam family "5.8S ribosomal RNA". The record is from RNAcentral. Lineage: Eukaryota; Fungi; Ascomycota; Eurotiomycetes; Eurotiales; Aspergillaceae.